Molecule: ribosomal RNA, 492 nt
Filed under: uncultured bacterium
Lineage: Bacteria
Description: partial 16S ribosomal RNA
Rfam family: Bacterial small subunit ribosomal RNA
Source: RNAcentral
AGUGGACGCUGGCGGUAGGCCUAACACAUGCAAGUCGAACGGCAGCACAGUAAGAGCUUGCUCUUACGGGUGGCGAGUGGCGGACGGGUGAGGAAUACAUCGGAAUCUACUUUUUCGUGGGGGAUAACGUAGGGAAACUUACGCUAAUACCGCAUACGACCUACGGGUGAAAGCAGGGGAUCUUCGGACCUUGCGCGAUUGAAUGAGCCGAUGUCGGAUUAGCUAGUUGGCGGGGUAAAGGCCCACCAAGGCGACGAUCCGUAGCUGGUCUGAGAGGAUGAUCAGCCACACUGGAACUGAGACACGGUCCAGACUCCUACGGGAGGCAGCAGUGGGGAAUAUUGGACAAUGGGCGCAAGCCUGAUCCAGCCAUACCGCGUGGGUGAAGAAGGCCUUCGGGUUGUAAAGCCCCUUUGUUGGGAAAGAAAAGCAGCAGGUUAAUACCCCGCUGUUCUGACGGUACCCAAAGAAUAAGCACCGGCUAACUUCGUG